UUCGGGUCUAGCGGCGGACGGGUGAGUAACGCGUGGGAACGUGCCCUUCUCUACGGAAUAGCCCCGGGAAACUGGGAGUAAUACCGUAUACGCCCUUUGGGGGAAAGAUUUAUCGGAGAAGGAUCGGCCCGCGUUGGAUUAGGUAGUUGGUGGGGUAAUGGCCCACCAAGCCGACGAUCCAUAGCUGGUUUGAGAGGAUGAUCAGCCACACUGGGACUGAGACACGGCCCAGACUCCUACGGGAGGCAGCAGUGGGGAAUCUUAGACAAUGGGGGCAACCCUGAUCUAGCCAUGCCGCGUGAGUGAUGAAGGCCUUAGGGUUGUAAAGCUCUUUCAGCUGGGAAGAUAAUGACGGUACCAGCAGAAGAAGCCCCGGCUAACUCCGUGCCAGCAGCCGCGGUAAUACGGAGGGGGCUAGCGUUGUUCGGAAUUACUGGGCGU
RNAcentral lists this ribosomal RNA (441 nucleotides) under Paracoccus marcusii. RNAcentral's name for it is "bacterial SSU rRNA". It matches the Rfam family "Bacterial small subunit ribosomal RNA", at positions 85 to 561 of the family's 1533-position model. The record is from RNAcentral. Lineage: Bacteria; Pseudomonadati; Pseudomonadota; Alphaproteobacteria; Rhodobacterales; Paracoccaceae.